RNAcentral lists this ribosomal RNA (527 nucleotides) under uncultured Actinomycetes bacterium. RNAcentral describes it as "bacterial SSU rRNA". It matches the Rfam family "Bacterial small subunit ribosomal RNA", at positions 8 to 522 of the family's 1533-position model. Lineage: Bacteria; Bacillati; Actinomycetota; Actinomycetes. The record is from RNAcentral.
AGAGUUUGAUCAUGGCUCAGGACGAACGCUGGCGGCGUGCUUAACACAUGCAAGUGGAGCGACGAACCAGGGCUUGCCCUGGGGCAAAGCCGCGAACGGGUGAGUAACACGUGAGUAACCUGCCCCGAUGACCGGGACAACCCGAGGAAACUCGGGCUAAUACCGGAUGUGGUGCACAUUCAUAAGUUUGUGUACUAAAGGAAGCUUCGGCCUCCGCAUUGGGAGGGGCUCGCGGCCCAUUAGCUUGUUGGUGGGGUAACGGCCCACCACGGCUUCGAUGGGUAGCUGGUCUGAGAGGACGAUCAGCCACACUGGGACUGAGACACGGCCCAGACUCCUACGGGAGGCAGCAGUGGGGAAUCUUGCGCAAUGCGCGAAAGCGUGACGCAGCAACGCCGCGUGGGGGAAGACGGCCUUCGGGUUGUAAACCCCUUUCAGGAGGGACGAAGGUUCACCGGUUAAUAGCCGUGUGGAUUGACGGUACCUCAGAAGAAGCUCCGGCUAACUACGUGCCAGCAGCCGCGGUA